CUGUCGUCAGCUCGUGCCGUGAGGUGUUGGGUUCAGUCCCGCAACGAGCGCAACCCUCGCCCUUUGUUGCCAUCGGGUAAAGCCGGGCACUCUAAGGGGACUGCCAGCGACAAGUUGGAGGAAGGAGAGGAUGACGUCAAGUCAUCAUGGCCUUUAUGCCUAGGGCCACACACGUGCAACAAUGGCCGGUACAGACGGAGGCAAUGCCGAGAGGCGGAGCAAACCCGAGAAAACCGGUCCCAGUUCGGAUUGAGGUCUGCAACUCGACCUCAUGAAGUCGGAAUCGCUAGUAAUCGCAUAUCAGAACGAUGCGGUGAAUACGUUCCCGGGCCUUGUACACACCGCCCGUCACACCACGAAAGUUUGUUGUACCCGAAGUCGGUGCCUUAACCUCGCAAGAGGAGAGAGCCGCCCAAGGUA
Molecule: ribosomal RNA, 420 nt
Filed under: uncultured bacterium
Lineage: Bacteria
Description: bacterial SSU rRNA
Rfam family: Bacterial small subunit ribosomal RNA
Source: RNAcentral